Molecule: ribosomal RNA, 484 nt
Filed under: uncultured bacterium
Lineage: Bacteria
Description: partial 16S ribosomal RNA
Rfam family: Bacterial small subunit ribosomal RNA
Source: RNAcentral
AUUGAACGCUGGCGGCAUGCUUUACACAUGCAAGUCGAACGGCAGCGCGGGCUUCGGCCUGGCGGCGAGUGGCGAACGGGUGAGUAAUGCAUCGGAACGUGCCCAGUAGUGGGGGAUAGCCCGGCGAAAGCCGGAUUAAUACCGCAUACGACCUGAGGGUGAAAGCGGGGGACCGAAAGGCCUCGCGCUAUUGGAGCGGCCGAUGUCGGAUUAGCUAGUUGGUGGGGUAAAGGCUUACCAAGGCGACGAUCCGUAGCUGGUCUGAGAGGACGACCAGCCACAGUGGGACUGAGACACGGCCCAGACUCCGACGGGAGGCAGCAGUGGGGAAUUUUGGACAAUGGGGGCAACCGUGAUCCAGCCAUGCCGCGUGCGGGAAGAAGGCCUUCGGGUUGUAAACCGCUUUUGUUCGGGAAGAAAUCCUCUGGGCUAAUACCCCGGGGGGAUGACGGUACCGGAAGAAUAAGCACCGGCUAACUACGUG